UUUCCUGGUUGUGUGGAAACAUCUCUUACGUUUUUACAAGGUGUCAAACCUCAAACGAUCUAAAAAACGGGUUUUCUUCUAAAUUUUUAGUUCCCUUCUAAAAUCCAACACUCGUCUGCACCGCAAACUGUGACACAUAUUUCUAGUUCCUUUUCCUAUUCCGGCUUCGGCCAGAAAUUUUUAUUAGCUGUUAAUACUCGAACUUGGAUUGUCUUGGGGCUAUUACGCUCUACUUGUGCAUUAGGAGAGGUUGGGCGCACAGUUUUUAAUCGGUCAGACACACACACACACGAAGAAUAUCUCCGAAAAAGUACGACUUAUUAUGACGAACACCACCAUAUUGUAUAUGACAGCUGCCUUCUUGAUCUCAUGAGGAUUGUUUGAAAGGUGUUUGAUGUCUAGUCAAAGAGCUUACAACCUGCACGGAUACAGUUACAGUUCUACUGUGUUGCCCUAUAAUCAUCAGCCUUUGACGAGGGAAAGAAUGGCUGGUGGAGAUAUCUGGGUCCAGUGGUUCACAUGCUGUGUGACUCAACAACCUCCUCCACGGAGACGAAGACCACCAAUUGAUCGUUCCAUGAUCGGUUUGCCACAAAAUUUUCAACAUACUGCUCAUAUAGGCUCAAGUGACGUAGCCAUGGGUUCAAGGCAUUUAGUAGCCUUGCAAAAUCACAUGCAGAGCAAAGGAG
Long non-coding RNA from Daphnia pulicaria, 689 nucleotides. RefSeq lists it as uncharacterized. The record is from RefSeq and is a predicted model, not a curated record. NCBI's taxonomy places the organism in Eukaryota, Metazoa, Arthropoda, Branchiopoda, Diplostraca, Daphniidae. The transcript has 3 exons.